Molecule: long non-coding RNA, 759 nt
Organism: Capsicum annuum
Lineage: Eukaryota; Viridiplantae; Streptophyta; Magnoliopsida; Solanales; Solanaceae
Exons: 2
Source: RefSeq, a predicted model, not a curated record
UCGUCUUCACUUCACAAUCUCCAAAAUGCCAUCAUACUAUCAAAAAUAUAAUCUACUCAUCAAUACGAGUCUAACGAUACCCAUAUUGCACUAUUGUUCUUCGGGUUAAAAAAUGACACCAAAAAGCCUAAGUGGGUCCCAUGUAUGGAAAUCGAGUUUUCGAGGUCAACCCAAUGCUCAUCUAUCACCAAGGAAGCAUAACCCUCAAUUGAUGGGUGCAAACAAAUGAAAUUUGGGGCUAAUUAUCAGACAAUGGCUUUUAUGAUAAAACCGAGCGAACUGACUGACCAUCACUUGGAGCGUACAAAGGGAAGAUUACUCAGCAAACUGGUCUUGUAAAUGAAAUCCCGUUUGAUGUUGAUUAUGUGCAAAAUAUCCCACAACAAGCGUCUGAUAGUUUGGACUGUGGUAUAUUUGUGUGUGCCUAUGCAGAAAUAUUAAGCGAAGGACUACAAGUUCAUUCAUGUGGAUUUGAUGUUGCAAGUCAACGUGCACGCUAUGCUUCCUUACUGUGGCAUUAUGGAGUGGAAAAGGCAAAUGAAGGGUACACGAGUGAUAAUGGAGAUCCGCCUCGACCAAGGAAAAGUGUAAUCAAAGAAAUUGAAGCAAAUGCAAUUGUUACAUUAGAGUAGCAAUGUUUUCUAAUUGUUGGCAUUGAAAGAACUAUUUCUUAUUUUGGUGUUUAAUAUUAAACAUUUUCAGGAAUACUUUCUUAUUGUUAAUGAAUAUUUUAUGGAUGUCUUUUUUUUUUUUUGAAAC